CCUAUAAGACUGGGAUAACUUCGGGAAACCGGAGCUAAUGCCGGAUAACAUUUGGAACCGCAUGGUUCUAAAGUAAAAGAUGGUUUUGCUAUCACUUAUAGAUGGACCCGCGCCGUAUUAGCUAGUUGGUAAGGUAACGGCUUACCAAGGCAACGAUACGUAGCCGACCUGAGAGGGUGAUCGGCCACACUGGAACUGAGACACGGUCCAGACUCCUACGGGAGGCAGCAGUAGGGAAUCUUCCGCAAUGGACGAAAGUCUGACGGAGCAACGCCGCGUGAGUGAUGAAGGUUUUCGGAUCGUAAAACUCUGUUAUUAGGGAAGAACAAAUGUGUAAGUAACUGUGCACAUCUUGACGGUACCUAAUCAGAAAGCCACGGCUAACUACGUGCCAGCAGCCGCGGUAAUACGUAGGUGGCAAGCGUUAUCCGGAAUUAUUGGGCGUAAAGCGCGCGUAGGCGGUUUCUUAAGUCUGAUGUGAGAGCCCACGGCUCAACCGUGGAGGGUCAUUGGAAACUGGGAAACUUGAGUACAGAAGAGGAAAGUGGAAUUCCAUGUGUAGCGGUGAAAUGCGCAGAGAUAUGGAGGAACACCAGUGGCGAAGGCGACUUUCUGGUCUGUAACUGACGCUGAUGUGCGAAAGCGUGGGGAUCAAACAGGAUUAGAUACCCUGGUAGUCCACGCCGUAAACGAUGAGUGCUAAGUGUUAGGGGGGUUUCCGCCCCUUAGUGCUGCAGCUAACGCAUUAAGCACUCCGCCUGGGGAGUACGACCGCAAGGUUGAAACUCAAA
Molecule: ribosomal RNA, 791 nt
Filed under: uncultured Staphylococcus sp.
Lineage: Bacteria; Bacillati; Bacillota; Bacilli; Caryophanales; Staphylococcaceae
Description: bacterial SSU rRNA
Rfam family: Bacterial small subunit ribosomal RNA
Source: RNAcentral